Molecule: long non-coding RNA, 8758 nt
Filed under: Jatropha curcas
Lineage: Eukaryota; Viridiplantae; Streptophyta; Magnoliopsida; Malpighiales; Euphorbiaceae
Description: long non-coding RNA (JCUR_LNC000552)
Source: RNAcentral
UUUGCUGUAAAUGAGGGAGAUAAUUGAGGAGAAAAAAAAAUUGAAAAACAAAAUAAUUUUAUUGCUGAAAAAUCAAAUUAAUUAAUUACAUAUAAAACAUAAAUAUCUAUAUAAUCAAAUAAAAAAAAAUACAAAAUACAUCUUCACGUUCUUUAUAAUGGAUCAGGAUAUAUGUUCCCUCUUCUCCAAUAUUCCUCAAAAUCGCCAUGAACAAAUUAUAACCUUGACAUAUAUGAGUUGAUGGGGAAGUAAGAAACUACAAUAGGAGCACUUGAAGAUGACUUUGAUUUGCUUUUGGGUUUCUGUACAUUAGAUCCUUUGAUGUUGGAUACUUCUGCAUCAUCUGAAACCCUAGAAGAUGAAGACGAUGAAGGAACAAAGCAACUGAACAUGGCUGAGAAAUUAACCAUUUUUCCUUCUGAUUUCUUCUUGUUGUGGAGUUGUAUUAGUAUAUGUUGUGAUAUUGAUGAGGAUCAAAGUGAAAAAACCAGGCUAUUUAUAGAUGAAGAAGAGAAGUCGAAGUUGGUAUAUAGUCUUCAUGUGCAAGGAAAGGAAUUCCAAGUUUCCAGGAGAAUUCUCCUACCUUAAUUUGACCAAAACAAAUGAACCACGUGACUAUAAUAUAAGCAGGAAGUUUCCACUUGACUAGUUGAGAAAAGUCAACACUCUCAGAACGCUUUUAAGGUUAAUCAAAACUCUAGCCAGCCGCCCCACACACAGGAAAAAGUUAUAUACUGGAGAUCUGUUCAGCAACGGCUACUCAAGUGGCUUUUAGCGUUUUUACUACUUUUCAUAGUGUUUGAUAAUACAACGUUAAAUUAGCUUUUAGAGAUUACGGUGACAGCUUUUUAUGAAAAUGUUAACUCAUCUAAUAUUUAGUUUUUAGCUUUUCAUAAAAAACUAUUAAAACAACUACCAACUAAUCACUGUAAAAUAGCUAAUAGCUAUCAAAACAACUAAUUUUUCCAUUUACACAAUAAAGUCAAUUAAAAAUAAUUUCUUGAUGUAAGAAAGUAGUUCUGACUAUUAAUUAAAAAAAAAUAGGUAAAACUAACUUAGUGUAUGGAUAGACUUAUACAUCUGAGUGUGGUAAGUCUUAUAUAUAUUUAUUUUAUACGUUAUAAUUUUUUAUUGUUUAUAUAUUUUUUAGAAUGCAAAAAUCUACGAGGAAGACACACAUAUGAUAAAGAAAAUCCAUUUCAUUAUAACAAAAUUGCUAAUAAGAGGAUUUAUAUUGUGACAUGUUGCUGUUUCACAUGAAAUGAGCUUCUUUUUCUUUGUCGAUACCUUGGGGAGCAAGAGCUCAAAGCAAAACGAAAACAAAGCUAUACAGCUAUGCUGACUCGCUGAGUCGCGUUGCUACAAAUUUCAUAGUCUAUCCAAAUCGAUAAACCGGGAGGAGGAGACUGCAAAUUCGUUUAAUGAUACCUUCAAAUUGCAGGCCAAGAAAGUAGGAGGAUCAUCAGAAAAACAUGAAAUACAAAAAAAGACGCGUGUAAUAAUUUAUUACAGAGAAGAACACCAAUGUUCGCUAAAUUCUUGUGCUAGUAGAAAUCAAAUAACUACUACAAAAGGGAGAGGUAUGAAUUGGUAGGGAAGUGAGGAACCAUAAUUGUGGAAGCUGAUGAUGAUUUUGAUUUUCUUUUGGGUAGUUUGACAGGGUUAGGUACUUUCAUGGUGGAGAUAGUUAGCGCAUCAGAAACUCGAGAGGAUGGAGAAGAAGAAUGGAAGCAACUAAACAAAGAUGAGAAGAUAGAUGUCAUUUUUUUUUUUUUUUUUUUUUGUGUGUUCUUGGAUUGGAGCUUGGAAGGAAAACAUAUUAAUUUAUAGUGAAAGAUGAGAAAGGAAAUUAAAACUUGUUUGUUUAUAGAUGCUAGUAAAAAAAAAAAAAAUACUAGACUUCCAACAUUUGUGUCCGGUCAAGUGAAGUUCGAUAUUUUAGGUUUAUUCAAUUCAAUGCCUAAAAAGGUCUGUUAAGCGCCUCGUGCUUAUGUCAUAAUAGAUCCGAACAUGUCCUGGAUCGACUUUCUGAUCAUAAUUACUCUAAUAAAUAACUAAAGAAACUAGAUAAAUGGGAGAUAAAAGAGAAAUAAAAUAAUUAUAAAUAUCUCUUAUAGGUUCACUAAUUAUUUAACUUGACUGUUGAUGGACCUCUUUAUAUGUGUUAUCUGAAAGAUGAGGACUCGAUGAUUAUUCGUUUGCCGAAGUCAAAAUUUUGAUAGAUAAAUCGGUUAUUAGGAGAAUAAAAUAUUUUUAUGUUCGUUGUUAGGUAAAGGUCAUACUUUUUAAUUUAAAAAAAAAAAAAAAAAAAAAAAAAAAAAAAAGAAGAAAAAAAAAAAAUGUGUCUACGUCUGGUGACGACUUUGCAAUAAUUAUAAAAUAGACACAUUGUUUUUGGCUACAAAAUGUGACUUUCAGAUUAGUUUGGUCUUAGUUUAUUGGUGGUGAAAUUUGCUUCUUAUCCAAAGGGAAUAUAUAUAUAUAUAUAUAUAUAUAUAAAACAUCUAAAAUGGUCAAAUAUAUUUUUUUGGAAGUUGCUUUGUUGCUUGUUUGAUUUUUUACAUUUUAAUAUUUGAACAGAAAAAAUUAACUAAAAUAAUUAAAUUUGUUUUCUUAGUUCUUACACGCCAUAUACAUUUAAAAAUUAAAAUCAUGAUGUUUACCUUCCAACCUAAUAUUCAAUAUAUAUGUGCGUGCUGUGCUUUGAUCAAGAUCUAAUUUUUAUAGUUUUUUUUUUAUAUUUAGACGAGAUAUCUAGGUCCGUAUCCGUUUUAAUAGUUUACAAACCUGGCUGAUCUUCCUCGUCCUCGGAGGCAAAAAAAGCUUGCAUUGCAUAGAAUCGAACACAUGAUCUAAUUUUUAUAAUAUUGUUUUCAAACAUUAAUUAAAAAAAUGCUUGUUAAGCAUUUGUAUUAGGGAUAAAUGAUAAUUGGUUCAUUUUAAUGUUAAAUUAAAAGGAUGAGGAGUAUCACAAAUUGAAAAACACAAUUAAAAUAAAAUUAUAUGUAGAUUAUCUUUAUUCUCCGAUAACUAUAAUCAAUCAUCAAUUGUACUAUUGAAAAUUGAUAUAUGUUCGAAUCACCUUUUCAAAACUGAUAUACGUAUGAAUCACAUACUUAAAAAAAAAAACUGAAAAAAAGGGUAUAAUACAAAUCAUGGUGUUAGAGUCAAUCUCUAAAACUGAAAUUUGUUGAAUUCAAAACAAGAAUCAUAAUCAAUAACAAAUUUCUAGUAUAUAAAAAAAAUUAAAGAAGAAACCAUUAAUGAAUAUAAAAUAACUCAAAAUUUUCUAAUUCAUAAAAAUCGCAAGAGAUUAAUACACUCACAUGAAUGAAAUUAUUCCUAACUCUUCAAAAUUGCAUGAUUAAUUAAGAUUAGUCAUGCUCUCUCUCAAAAAAAAAUAAUAAUAAUAAUAAUGCAAAAGAACAAAAUUAAAUACCCGCUACAUUGAGAAAAAAAAAAAAAAACUACAGCCUCGGAGCACAAAAAUUAAAAGGAAAAUGAGGAACAAGAAUUGGAGAUUUUGAUUUGCUCAUCAAUCUCUCAGACUUGUUAGACCUUUUUGCAUCAGAAAACUGCUUUUCGUCGAAGACCUUUGAAUUAGCAAAAAUGGUGGAGCAGAAAAUUGCUGAAAAGCAUCCCAUUGUUUUCUGUUUCUAUUAAUUUCUCUUGAUUACCUACAAGAGACCUAUUUAUAGUGGGACUUUAGGUUAAUUAGGUUAAUGGUGUUUUAGGUAAAGAGUUGCCUAUUUGCAGGGAGACUUUUUUUUGUUACAAAGUAAUUAGCAUCAUUUCAAAUUUAAAUAUCUCAGACUCUAGAUAUCAGCAUUCUCUCUAAAACGGUAAAAAUCUCUAAUUUAUAAAUUCUUUUUAUAGCUAAAUAAAUUUAUUUUAUUAUAAAUUACCAAAAAUAUAAUUUUAUCAAUUGAUUAGAAACAGCGUUCGUGUUUGACUUAUCAGCCGUAUUGUCCUUUUAUUUAUGAUAUAUAAAAUUAAUUUCGUUUUGAGGUUUAUAGUUACCUACUCUAAAUGAUGGCAAGAUAUUUAUUUGUGUGAUAAUUGAGAAACAGGAAAUUUUACCUACUCUGAAUGAUGGCAAGAUAUUAUUUUUUUAUUCUAUGGAUACAAUCUAAUUAACUGAAAGAUACUUUCUCCUGUCAUUUUCCGACUCUCCAAUCAAGCAAGAAAUUUAUCAGCCGUAUUGUCCUUUUAUUUAUAUAUGAUAUAUAAAACUAAUCUCGUUUUGAGGUUUGUAGCUACCCUUUUAAAUGAUUUUUUUCCCCGAAUUUAAUUAUUAUAAUAAUCCUUUCCUAAAUUUAAAUGUGUCUUACUACUUGAAACACUCACAGUGAAGUGUUUUUAUUUAUUUGUUUGAUAAUUGAGAAACAGGAAAUUCGACCUACUCUAAAUGAUGGCAAGACCAAAUUAAUUAAUUACCUAUUAUUUUUUGUUCAAUGGACACAGUCUAACUAGCUAGAAAGAUACUUUCUACUGUCAUUUUCCGACUCUCCAAUCAAGCAAGAAAUUUAUACUGUCUUAAUUAGUAGUUCAUUGAACAAGGCUAAAAGAAAGAAGGUCAAUAGCCACCACUUCUACAUCAAUUCUUCUUUUUUCCUUUUUUUUUUUUUUUUUUCUCUUUUUUGCCCUUUGCUGUAAAUGAGGGAGAUAAUUGAGGAGAAAAAAAAAAUUGAAAAACAAAAUAUUUUUAUUGCUGAAAAAUCAAAUUAAUUAAUUACAUAUAAAACAUAAAUAUUUAUAUAAUCAAAUAAAAAAAAUACAAAAUACAUCUUCACGUUCUUUAUAAUGGAUCAGGAUAUAUGUUCCCUCUUCUCCAAUAUUCCUCAAAAUCGCCAUGAACGAACUAUAACCUUGACAUAUAUGAGUUGAUGGGGAAGUAAGAAACUACAAUAGGAGCACUUGAAGAUGACUUUGAUUUGCUUUUGGGUUUCUGUACAUUAGAUCCUUUGAUGUUGGAUACUUCUGCAUCAUCUGAAACCCUAGAAGAUGAAGACGAUGAAGGAACAAAGCAACUGAACAUGGCUGAGAAAUUAACCAUUUUUCCUUCUGAUUUCUUCUUGUUGUGGAGUUGUAUUACUAUAUGUUGUGAUAUUGAUGAGGAUCAAAGUGAAAAAACCAGGCUAUUUAUAGAUGAAGAAGAGAAGUCGAAGUUGGUAUAUAAUCUUCAUGAGCAAGGAAAGGAAUUCCAAGUUUCCAGGAGAAUUCUCCUACCUUAAUUUGACCAAAACAAAUGAACCACAUGACUAUAAUAUAAUCAGGAAGUUUCCACUUGACUAGUUAAGAAAAGUUUACACUCUCAGAACGCUUUUAAGGUUAAUCAAAACUCUAGCCAGCCGCCACACACACAGGAAAAAGUUAUAUGCUGGACCCGUGUUCGGCAACCGCUAUUAAAAUAGUUUGUAGCGUUUUUGAUACUUUCUUAGUAAUACAGUAGAUGAACUAGCUUUUAGAGUUUACUGUGACAGCAUUUUAUGAAAACAUUAACUCAUUUAAUAUUUAGUUUUAGCAUUUCAUAAAAAACUAUUAAAAUAACGACCAACUAAACGUUAUAAAAUAAUUAAUAACUAUCAAAACAACUAAUUUCACAGAACAUGAUUCAUUUACACAACAAAGUCAAUUAUAAAUUUUUUUUUUUGAUGUAAGAAAGUACUUCUGACUAUUAAUUAAAAAAAAAAAAAAUAGGUAAAACUAACUUAGUGUAUGGACAAUCUGGUGCAUCGAGUGUGGUAAGUCUUAUAUAUCUUUAUUUUAUACAUUAUAUAUUUUUUAGAAUGCAAAAAUUUUUAAAAGGUAUUAAUACUUCAAGCAAUGAAAGGCCAUUUGUUGCUUUGGACUAAUUAUCACAAUCUAGUCAAUUUGUUGAUCAAUAUUUUAAUGGGAGAUUACCUAAACCACCGACUUUUGUAAAUUUUGUUUUAUUUCAAAUCAAAUUGCAUACCAGUCAAAUUAACAAUAUUAAAAUAAAAAUUAUAUACACAUCAUCUAGUUAACUAACAAUUAAUUAAUUAAUUAAAGGGAGAAAAUUAGAUUAUAAAUCAAGAGGAAGAUGAAAUCUGAGUUUCAUAAACCUGCCAAGUUCUCAAUUUUUAGUUUUUUUUUUAUAUUUUUUUUCUUUUUAUCAAACUCAAAACACAAUACGACAAACAACAACAACUUUCCAAUAUAAAAAAUUCAAGGAAAAAACAUUUAAUAGAAUAAAAUAAUUCAAAAUUACUAAUUCAUCGAAAUUGCAGUGAUCAAGUACACUCAAGUUAAUGAAAUUAUUCCCAACUCUUUGAAUACCUACUACACAAGCAGGAAAAAUAUAUUACUACAGUAUCGACGGACACGAAUUAUCUGGAAAAUGAGGAACAAAAAUUGGAGCUUCUGAUUUGCUCUUCAACUUCUCAGGCUUGUUACACCCUUUUCCAUCUGACAGAUUUUCAUCGAAGACCUUUGAAUUAGCAACAAUGGCAGAGCAGAAAAUUGCUGCAAAAGAAGAAAAAAUUGCUGAAAAGUAACCCAUUGUUUUUGUUUUCAUUGCUUUCUCUUAAUCAGCUAUUAAGAGGCCUGUUUAUAAUGAGAUUUUAGGGUUAAUUGUGUUGGUAAUUAAGGACUUGCCAAUUUGUUGUAAGAAAAUAAGAUUUGUAUUGACCAUUAGCUUGCAAGGGAAGAUUUUUUUUUUAAUUACUAGUAAGCAAUUAAAGUGACUUAAAUAUAUUUAUAUAUUUGGAAACGGUAAAAACUUGUCUAUUUUCGGUGUAUGAGAAUUGAUGAUAACACUUGCUUGCACUUAGUUUAUAAGAUCACCUAUACAUUCAAAUAUUGUUAUUGUUUUAUCUUUUAUUUUUCUAAUAAUUAGUCAUGAACGCUCUAGUGUAAGUAAAAAAUUAUUUUCAUUAUGGGUGGAGGCCAUGAAUCAGGUAUAAAUGAGUCCUUUUUGAAAAUUGAUAUAUAAAAUUAAGGUGGAAAUAAUUUUUAACAAAUUUCUAUUUCUAUCCGUUUAUGGCCAUAGACCGAAUCUAAACAGAUCUAAUACUAGUGUAUCUUCCCGUCUAUUCAUGAAUAUAUAUUGGUAGGAUUACGAGAUAUCCUUCCAAUAUGUGAAGACUAAUCCCCUUCUACCUAAAUUUUUAGUCUUCUCAAGGUCCAAUAAUUAUUUUUUUGGGACGUUGAACUUGUAAUUUUUUUUUGCUAAUAGUGGAAGAAGUUUGAAAUUAUGGCAAGAAUUGGAGCACAAAAAAAAAUAAUAAUAAAAGGAAAAUGAGGAACAAGAAUUGGAGAUUUUGAUUUGCUCAUCAAUUUCGCAGACUUGUUAGACCUUUUUGCAUCUGAAAACUGCUUUUCGUCGAAGACCUUUGAAUUAGCAAAAAUGGUGGAGCAGAAAAUUGCUGAAAAGCAUCCCAUUGUUUUCUGUUUCUAUUAAUUUCUCCUGAUUACCUACAAGAGACCUAUUUAUAGUGGGACUUUAGGUUAAUUAGGUUAAUGGUGUUUUAGGUAAAGAGUUGCCAAUUUGCAGGGAGACUUUUUUUUGUUACAAAGUAAUUAGCAUCAUUUCAAAUUUAAAUAUCUCAGACUCUAGAUAUCAGCAUCCUCUCUAAAACGGUAAAACUCUCCAAUUUAUAAAUUCUUUUUAUAGCUAAAUAAAUUUAUUUUAUUAUAAAUUACCAAAAAAUAUAAUUUUAUUAAUUGAUUAGAAACAGCGUCCGUAUUUUGGCUUAUCAACCGUAUUGUCCUUUUAUUUAUGAUAUAUAAAAUUAAUCUCAUUUUGAGGUUUAUAGUUACCUACUCUGAAUGAUGGCAAGAUAUUUAUUUGUGCGAUAAUUGAGAAACAGGAAAUUUUACCUACUCUAAAUGAUGGCAAGAUAUUAUUUUUUUGUUCUAUGGACACAAUCUAAUUAGCUAGAAAGAUACUUUCUCCUAUCAUUUUCCGACUCUCCAGUCAAGCAAGAAAUUUAUACUGUCUUAGUUAGUAGUUCAUUGAAAAAGGCCAAAAGAAAGAAGGUCAAUAGCCACCACUUUCAAAUCAAUUCUUCUUUUUUCUUUUUUCUUUUUUUUCUUUUUUUUCUUUUGCUGUAAAUGAGGGAGAUAAUUGAGGAGAAAAAAAAAUUGAAAAACAAAAUAUUUUUAUUGCUGAAAAAUCAAAUUAAUUAAUUGGAUAUAAAACAUAAAUAUGUAUAAUCAAAUAAAAAAAAUACAAAAUACAUCUUCAUGUUCUUUAUAAUGGAUCAGGAUAUAUGUUCACUCUUCUCCAAUAUUCCUCAAAAUCGCCAUGAACGAACUAUAACCUUGACAUAUAUGAGUUGAUGGGGAAGUAAGAAACUACAAUAGGAGCACUUGAAGAUGACUUUGAUUUGCUUUUGGGUUUCUGUACAAUAGAUCCUCUGAUGUUGAUUUGAUGUUGGAUACUUCUGCAUCAUCUGAAACCCUAGAAGAUGAAGACGAUGAAGGAACAAAGCAACUGAACAUGGCUGAGAAAUUAACCAUUUUUCCUUCUGAUUUCUUCUUGUUGUGGAGUCGUAUUACAAUAUGUUGUGAUAUUGAUGAGGAUCAAAGUGAAAAAACCAGGCUAUUUAUAGAUGAAGAAGAGAAGUCGAAGUUGGUAUAUAGUCUUCAUGUGCAAGGAAAGGAAUUCCAAGUUUCCAGGAGAAUUCUCCUACCUUAAUUUGACCAAAACAAAUGAACCACAUGACUAUAAUAUAAGCAGGAAGUUUCCACUUGACUAGUUGAGAAAAGUCAACACUCUCAGAACGCUUUUAAG